GAAUAUUGGACAAUGGGCGCAAGCCUGAUCCAGCAACGCCGCGUGAGGGAUGACGGCCUUCGGGUUGUAAACCUCUUUCGCCUGUGACGAAGCGCAAGUGACGGUAACAGGUAAAGAAGCACCGGCCAACUACGUGCCAGCAGCCGCGGUAAUACGUAGGGUGCGAGCGUUGUCCGGAAUUAUUGGGCGGAAAGGGCUCGUAGGCGGUUUGUCGCGUCGGGAGUGAAAACCAGGUGCUUAACACCUGGCUUGCUUUCGAUACGGGCAGACUAGAGGUAUUCAGGGGAGAACGGAAUUCCUGGUGUAGCGGUGAAAUGCGCAGAUAUCAGGAGGAACACCGGUGGCGAAGGCGGUUCUCUGGGAAUGACCUGACGCUGUGGAGCGAAAGUAUGGGGAGCGAACAGG
This 405-nucleotide ribosomal RNA is filed under the name uncultured bacterium. RNAcentral describes it as "bacterial SSU rRNA". It matches the Rfam family "Bacterial small subunit ribosomal RNA", at positions 359 to 776 of the family's 1533-position model. The record is from RNAcentral.